AUCUUUAAAAUUAAAAAUUUUGGCGGUAUUUUAGUCUAUUCAGAGGAACCUGUUUUUUAAUUGAUAGUCCACGAUUAUAUAAAUUUUAGUUUUUAGCUUGCAUAUCGCCGUGGAUUGAAUAUUUUAUUAUUUAAUGUUUUCAGGUCAAGGUGCAGUUUAUAUUAAAAUUAAAAUGGGUUACAAUAUAAAUUUUAAUGAAAUUGGAUUUGAAAGUAAGCUCUAAAAUAUGUACAUAUCGCCCGUCGCUUUCAUUAUAAAAUGAAAUAAGUCGUAACAAAGUAGGCUUAUUGGAAAAUGAGCCUAGAAUGCAAAUUAGAGCUUGAUAAGCAUUUUAUUUACAUUAAAAAGUUAAUUGUGAAAUUCAAUUUAAUUUGAUAUGAAAAGUUUAUUUUUAAUGAAAUUUUGGAGAAUUUAAUUAAAGAAUUUAAAAUUUUAGUUUUUUAUAGAAAAAAUAUAAUGAUAGAUUAUAGUAUUGUGAAAGAAAAUUUAUAAAUUAAAAAAAGAAAAAUUUAUUUUUUGUACCUUGUGUAUCAGGGUUUAUUAAGUUAAUUUUCUCGAAUUUAUAAGAGUUAAUUUUAUUGUAAAAUAAAUAUUUAAAAUAAUUAUUUGGUAAUGAAACGUUAAUCGUUUAUAAAUAUAUCUAGUUUUUUCAGAAAUGUAUUUAAUUAAAUUAAUAAUAAAAUAAAUUGUUUGGGGAUGAGCUUGGGAUUUUAUUAUUAAAAAUUAAUUUUAUAUUAAAAAUUAUAGGAUUAGAAUUUUCUAUUUUUAAAAGGAUGUUAUAAUUGAUUAUUUUAAGUUUUUUAUGAAAGUGUAUAUUAUAAUUUUGUAAUUUAUUAAUAAUGAUAAAAUUAGUAAAUUAAUAUUAAGGAAUUCGGCAAAUAAAUUUUCCACCUGUUUAAUAAAAACAUGUCCUUUAGAGUAUAAUUUAAGGUUUGGCCUGCUCAAUGAUUAAAUGGCCGCAGUAUUUUGACUGUGCAAAGGUAGCAUAAUCAUUAGUUUUUUAAUUGAAAGCUGGAAUGAAAGGUUUGAUGAGAAAAUUGCUGUCUCUAGAAUUUUAUUUUUAAGUAAAAAAGCUUAAAUUUAAUAAAAAGACGAGAAGACCCUAUAGAGUUUUUUUAUUGGGGUGAUAUAAAAAUUAAAAAAACUUUUUAUUUUUAUGAAUAUUUGAUCCUAGAUUAAAAGAAAAAAUUACCUUAGGGAUAACAGCGUAAUUUUUAUUGAGAGUUCUAAUCG
This 1233-nucleotide ribosomal RNA is filed under the name Ischnomera sp. NLG-2012. Its description in RNAcentral is "partial 16S ribosomal RNA". The record is from RNAcentral. Lineage: Eukaryota; Metazoa; Arthropoda; Insecta; Coleoptera; Oedemeridae.